AUUGAACGCUGGCGGCAUGCCUAACACAUGCAAGUCGAACGGUAACAGCCAGCAGCUUGCUGCUUUGCUGACGAGUGGCGGACGGGUGAGUAAUGUCUGGGCAACUGUCUGCUGUAGGGGGACAACUACUGGAAACGGUUGCUAAUACCGCAUAACUCCGCAAGACUAAAGAGGGGGACCUUCGGGCCUCUUUCCAUCGGGUGUGCCCAGAUGGGAUUCGCUAGUGGGUGGGGUAACGGCUCACCUAGGCGACGAGCCCUACCUGCUCUGAGGGGAUGACCAGCCGCACUGGAACUGAGACACGGUCCAGACUCCUACGGGAGGCAGCAGUGGGGAAUAGUGCACAAAGGGCGCAAGACUGAUGCAGCCGUGCCGAGUGUAUGGAGGAGGCCUUCGGGUUGGAAAGUACUUUCAGGGGGGAGGAAGGGAGUAAGGUUAAUACCUUUGCUGAGUGACGUUACCCGCAGAAGAAGCACCGGCUAACUCCGUG
Molecule: ribosomal RNA, 490 nt
Filed under: uncultured bacterium
Lineage: Bacteria
Description: partial 16S ribosomal RNA
Rfam family: Bacterial small subunit ribosomal RNA
Source: RNAcentral